This 337-nucleotide unclassified non-coding RNA is filed under the name soil metagenome. Its description in RNAcentral is "partial contains 5.8S ribosomal RNA, internal transcribed spacer 2, and large subunit ribosomal RNA". The stretch from base 1 to 120 matches the Rfam family "5.8S ribosomal RNA", at positions 35 to 154 of the family's 154-position model. The record is from RNAcentral.
GAUGAAGAACGUAGCGAAAUGCGAUAAGUAAUGUGAAUUGCAGAAUUCAGUGAAUCAUCGAAUCUUUGAACGCACAUUGCGCCCACCAGUAUUCUGGCGGGCAUGCCUGUUCGAGCGUCAUUUCAACCAUCAAGCCCCCCGGCUUGUGUUGGGGACCUGCGGCUGCCGCAGGCCCUGAAAAGCAGUGGCGGGCUCGCUGUCACACCGAGCGUAGUAGAUCUCAUCUCGCUCAGGGCGUGCUGCGGGUUCCGGCCGUUAAACCACCUUCAUAACCCAAGGUUGACCUCGGAUCAGGUAGGAAGACCCGCUGAACUUAAGCAUAUCAAUAAGCGGAGGA